CUGACCCGGGUCCCAAUUAGCCCCUCGACGAGCCAGUUCAUGAGCACAACUAUUACAAAAUCGAUAGGCGAAAGACAAAUCAACCUUUACAAAGUCCACCAAAGACAUCAAUCUGAUUUACUUGAAGAUGACACCAGCCGUAGCUUGAUCAUAAUCAGCUGAUUUGAGAGCUCGCACUAGGACAGAGCAAUCAGUUUCUACUGAGACAUGAGAAAUUCCGUUGUUUGCUGCGGCGCGCAGAGCAUAAAGACAUGCCAUAGCCUCUGCACACAAAGCAUCAUGCACCAGCUCAAUUCUCCCAGCUCCAGCUAGCACACAGUGGCCACCAUGGUCCCGUACUACAAAUCCCCAUCCACCGGUCUUGCCUUCAUCAAAGAAAGCCCCAUCAAAAUUCAGCUUCAGUUCGCCCAGGAUAGGGGGAUGCCAUUUCCUCUGCGCUUGAACGUUUGGUCGAGAUUUGGCCGGGCUCAGCUGACAGUGAUGUUUUAAUUAAUCGGUUAAGAGCAAAGUAUAAUGGUAGGCUAUAAGUCGGCUAAAUGCUGAGGUGGAGGAGAGAAAAGAGGAGAGAGGAGAAGCGGGCUGUAAACUUACAGCCGGCUUGGUCACAAGAACCAAGAAACUCUGUGAGAGAGACAAGUAGGCCUUAUAUUAAUUGUAAAGAGCUAACUAUUAUAUGGAUAGACUGAGAGAAAACUAUAAAGAAUCUUAUAGUCAAAAGAUCGGUUAUAUUAUUAGCCUUGAUCUAACAGUUUGAUUAAUGGGGGGAGAUUAGACUACUGCACAUGGUCAUGAAUGAGCCUAUCCCGAUUUUCUCAUCCUGAUCAGAGGUAUUCAUGCUAAUGGGAUGGUUAAAUUUAUGUUACCCUCUCAUGGUCUGUUUUUUUUU
This 886-nucleotide small RNA is filed under the name Oryza sativa Japonica Group (Japanese rice). RNAcentral describes it as "sRNA Os08g0240966". Lineage: Eukaryota; Viridiplantae; Streptophyta; Magnoliopsida; Poales; Poaceae. The record is from RNAcentral.